CCCUUAUCAGGGUCACAUCUGGAGAGUUUCUAGUAUUCUACCAGUCUUAACUACGAUAGGAAGAGUCAAGCAGAGGCCUGUCCAUUCCAUUCCUAGUUUGGGCAGUGACUGGCGAGUGAAAGACAAUCUGCCACAUGU
Molecule: small nucleolar RNA, 138 nt
Organism: Ornithorhynchus anatinus (platypus)
Lineage: Eukaryota; Metazoa; Chordata; Mammalia; Monotremata; Ornithorhynchidae
Source: RefSeq, a predicted model, not a curated record